This 243-nucleotide non-coding RNA is filed under the name Levilactobacillus brevis. RNAcentral describes it as "Lactobacillus brevis T-box sequence". It matches the Rfam family "T-box leader". From Rfam's summary of the family: Uncharged tRNA acts as the effector for transcription antitermination of genes in the T-box leader family. T-boxes are found upstream of many aminoacyl-tRNA synthetase genes and some amino acid biosynthetic genes usually in Gram-positive bacteria. The record is from RNAcentral. Lineage: Bacteria; Bacillati; Bacillota; Bacilli; Lactobacillales; Lactobacillaceae.
AAAUCAGCAAUGAAAAGAUGAGUAGUUUUGACGCUGUUUCAAGAGAAUCCUCAACUGGUGAAAGAGGAUAACAGCGCUCUACGAAAAUGGUCUUCGAGCGGAAUGUUAUCAAGCAGAUUGUGAAAUAACAUUGGCAGGUGCCCAUUACCGCACCUUAGUGACUAAAUGAUGUCACUAUUAAAGUUAUUUAGUGUGAGCUAAAUAAAAAGUAAGGUGGUACCGCGAAGAACAAUCGUCCUUGGA